RNAcentral lists this ribosomal RNA (476 nucleotides) under uncultured bacterium. RNAcentral's name for it is "partial 16S ribosomal RNA". It matches the Rfam family "Bacterial small subunit ribosomal RNA", at positions 30 to 506 of the family's 1533-position model. The record is from RNAcentral.
AUUGAACGCUGGCGGCAUGCCUUACACAUGCAAGUCGAACGGUAACAGGUUAAGCUGACGAGUGGCGAACGGGUGAGUAAUGUAUCGGAACGUGCCCAGUCGUGGGGGAUAACUGCUCGAAAGAGCAGCUAAUACCGCAUACGACCUGAGGGUGAAAGCGGGGGCUCGCAAGACCUCGCGCGAUUGGAGCGGCCGAUAUCAGAUUAGGUAGUUGGUGAGGUAAAGGCUCACCAGGCCGACGAUCUGUAGCUGGUCUGAGAGGACGACCAGCCACACUGGGACUGAGACACGGCCCAGACUCCUACGGGAGGCAGCAGUGGGGAAUUUUGGACAAUGGGCGCAAGCCUGAUCCAGCCAUGCCGCGGGCGGGAAGAAGGCCUUCGGGUUGUAAACCGCUUUUGUCAGGGAAGAAAAGGUUCUGGCUAAUACCUGGGACUCAGGACGGUACCUGAAGAAUAAGCACCGGCUAACUACGU